UGUUAGUAGAGAUCCUAAUCCAAUAGAUCUUGAAUAACACAAACAAGGAUGGAAGAAAGAUUAGAAAGAGAUAGUAAGAAGAAGAGUGCAUUCUUGGAAAGAAUUCUAUGCUAGAGGUGAAGCUUUGGUUUUUGGCUGAGCUAAAUGAUGUCAUGUGAUCCAUGUGCUUGCUUAGUGGGAUGAGACUUUGUUAUUGGUGAGGAAUGUAAUCCUCUUAUAGACACCCAAUUUCGUCCGGGGGGCAUACAAACGAAGAAAU
This is a non-coding RNA of Cajanus cajan (pigeon pea), 259 nucleotides long. NCBI's taxonomy places the organism in Eukaryota, Viridiplantae, Streptophyta, Magnoliopsida, Fabales, Fabaceae. The record is from RefSeq and is a predicted model, not a curated record.